UUCACAUCUCAAAUUGAAUUCCUCAUUCUUUUCUCCGAAAAUCUCAUCUUGUUGCAACAAUGUCCAUUGAGAGCAACAAAGAGAACAUCUCUCCAGUUUAUACCAAUAAGAAGAAGAAGAAGAAGAAGAAUAGUACUGAAAGAAAGAUGAAGAGGAGCCCUCUUGCAGAUAUCACCCAUUUGUUCGACAACUCUUCCACAUUAACAACGACCAGAGAAGAACAUGUGGAUUCUCGGAGGACAUUGAGGAUUGGAUUUAGAUAGGAUAGGAUUCAAUUUCCAUUCUGUUCUCUUACGUUUUUUGUGUCAUCGUGUUAUACAACAAUUUAUAUAACAAAAAGGAAUAAUUACAAUGAAAAUAUUAAUAGUGUUUGGAAGCUGCAUAAUCA
This 388-nucleotide long non-coding RNA is filed under the name Medicago truncatula (barrel medic). Its description in RNAcentral is "lncRNA gene12072". The record is from RNAcentral. Lineage: Eukaryota; Viridiplantae; Streptophyta; Magnoliopsida; Fabales; Fabaceae.